RNAcentral lists this ribosomal RNA (427 nucleotides) under uncultured prokaryote. RNAcentral's name for it is "bacterial SSU rRNA". It matches the Rfam family "Bacterial small subunit ribosomal RNA", at positions 355 to 774 of the family's 1533-position model. The record is from RNAcentral.
UGGGGAAUAUUGCACAAUGGGGGAAACCCUGAUGCAGCCAUGCCGCGUGUGUGAAGAAGGCCUUCGGGUUGUAAAGCACUUUCAGCGAGGAGGAAAGGGUGGAAGCUAAUACCUUUCAUCUGUGACGUUACUCGCAGAAGAAGCACCGGCUAACUCCGUGCCAGCAGCCGCGGUAAUACGGAGGGUGCAAGCGUUAAUCGGAAUUACUGGGCGUAAAGCGCACGCAGGCGGUUAUAUAAGUCAGAUGUGAAAGCCCCGGGCUCAACCUGGGAACUGCAUUUGAAACUGUGUAACUAGAGUCUUGUAGAGGGGGGUAGAAUUCCAGGUGUAGCGGUGAAAUGCGUAGAGAUCUGGAGGAAUACCGGUGGCGAAGGCGGCCCCCUGGACAAAGACUGACGCUCAGGUGCGAAAGCGUGGGGAGCAAACA